This 485-nucleotide ribosomal RNA is filed under the name uncultured bacterium. RNAcentral describes it as "partial 16S ribosomal RNA". It matches the Rfam family "Bacterial small subunit ribosomal RNA", at positions 28 to 507 of the family's 1533-position model. The record is from RNAcentral.
AUUGAACGCUGGCGGCAUGCCUUACACAUGCAAGUCGAACGGCAGCGGGCCCUUCGGGGUGCCGGCGAGUGGCGAACGGGUGAGUAGUGCAUCGGAACGUACCCGGGAGAGGGGGAUAACCGGCCGAAAGGCUGGCUAAUACCGCAUGAACUCGGAAGAGCAAAGCGGGGGACCUUCGGGCCUCGCGCUCUCGGAGCGGCCGAUGUCCGAUUAGGCUAGUUGGUGGGGUAAAGGCCCACCAAGGCGACGAUCGGUAGCGGGUCUGAGAGGACGAUCCGCCACACUGGGACUGAGACACGGCCCAGACUCCUACGGGAGGCAGCAGUGGGGAAUCUUGGACAAUGGGCGCAAGCCUGAUCCAGCAAUGCCGCGUGGGUGAAGAAGGCCUUCGGGUUGUAAAGCCCUUUCGGCGGGGAAGAAAUCGGUCAGGCGAAUAGUCUGGCCGGAUGACGGUACCCGCAGAAGAAGCACCGGCUAACUACGUG